UACGGAGGAUGCGAGCGUUAUCCGGAUUUAUUGGGUUUAAAGGGUGCGCAGGCGGGAUUUUAAGUCAGCGGUGAAAUUUUCAGGCUCAACCUGAACACUGCCGUUGAAACUGGGAUUCUUGAGUAUGGAUGAAGUAGGCGGAAUUCGUUGUGUAGCGGUGACAUGCUUAGAUAUAACGAGGAACUCCGAUUGCGUAGGCAGCUUACUAAGCCAUAACUGACGCUCAAGCACGAAAGCGUGGGGAUCAAAC
This 250-nucleotide ribosomal RNA is filed under the name uncultured bacterium. Its description in RNAcentral is "partial 16S ribosomal RNA". It matches the Rfam family "Bacterial small subunit ribosomal RNA", at positions 524 to 773 of the family's 1533-position model. The record is from RNAcentral.